GAUGAACGCUGGCGGCGUGCCUAAUACAUGCAAGUCGAGCGAACAGACGAGGAGCUUGCUCCUCUGACGUUAGCGGCGGACGGGUGAGUAACACGUGGAUAACCUACCUAUAAGACUGGGAUAACUUCGGGAAACCGGAGCUAAUACCGGAUAAUAUAUUGAACCGCAUGGUUCAAUAGUGAAAGACGGUUUUGCUGUCACUUAUAGAUGGAUCCGCGCCGCAUUAGCUAGUUGGUAAGGUAACGGCUUACCAAGGCAACGAUGCGUAGCCGACCUGAGAGGGUGAUCGGCCACACUGGAACUGAGACACGGUCCAGACUCCGACGGGAGGCAGCAGUAGGGAAUCUUCCGCAAUGGGCGAAAGCCUGACGGAGCAACGCCGCGUGAGUGAUGAAGGUCUUCGGAUCGUAAAACUCUGUUAUUAGGGAAGAACAAAUGUGUGAGUAACUAUGCACGUCUUGACGGUACCUAAUCAGAAAGCCACGGCUAACUACGUG
Molecule: ribosomal RNA, 497 nt
Filed under: uncultured bacterium
Lineage: Bacteria
Description: partial 16S ribosomal RNA
Rfam family: Bacterial small subunit ribosomal RNA
Source: RNAcentral